Long non-coding RNA from Oreochromis niloticus (Nile tilapia), 2298 nucleotides. RefSeq lists it as uncharacterized. The transcript has 3 exons. NCBI's taxonomy places the organism in Eukaryota, Metazoa, Chordata, Actinopteri, Cichliformes, Cichlidae. The record is from RefSeq and is a predicted model, not a curated record.
AUACAAAAAUAACAAAAUUCUGUCUUAGAGAUGCAAAUUGUACCCACAGGUCUAAGCACAGUCACGACUCGAGGAGUGGUGUCACUUUGGUCCAGAUUUAAUUUGUUCAAAGCAUCACUGCUAAAAAUUAUGUUUGCUUCUUUUAUGGCUAAACGUAUCCCACACAAAUCUGCUACCAGUCUGAACUAUAAUCCACUAGCUUACUGCUAAUAUACAAAUAUGCUAACAUGAUAAAUGUUACAUUACCACAGGAACAUUUUAGCAUGCACUGUUGUGCUUAUGUUGUGCCUAUGCCACAAGCAUGACUGUAGAUUAUUUGCUUUGUUCAUUAAACUUUUUGUCUGUCUAUAAAAAAUGAAACUCUGAUCUGGCUCCCGAUUCCAGUAUUUGGUUUUUAACACUCUCUUGGUGCUGACGCCUUUCAGUCAGUGCUGCAAAGGUAUUGAAGGUUACUCUGCCGUACACUGACUGUUUUCAGAGUCUUGACUUUGUAGUUCAGCUCAUUCAGAUUUUGCUUUAGUUUCUUAAAACGCUGAACAACUGAAGGCAGUACUGCUUUUCUACAGGAAGUUAAGGGAAAGGAGGAGGAGGAGGCAGUGGUGGGUACCCUGAGCAUGCUCAGUAAUGACUUGGGCCUCGAAUGAAGCCCUGCUGACCUUGAGGGUGUCGUAUCGAUCGAUCGGCAGUAAGGCGCUGUGUGUGCAUGUGAGAGAAAGAGGGAGAGAAAGAUGGAGGCGUGCAACUCCACCAAACAAGGAGAAAACUGAAACCUGCACUAACGAUGAAUCAUUGAUAAGUGGACAAGAGAAGACUUUUCUUUUCAUCUCUUUCUUUCUGCCAAUAUUUCCUUAUUCUCUUUGCCCCGCUCUGGGCUAGUUUUUAAUGUCUCUCCCUCUUUCUCACCUCCUUGCUGACUCUGUUUUUCUCAGUCUGACUUUGUGUCAAAUGUCAGUUUUAACAUUCACUCUGUCUUUGCUUCUCCACCUGUCUCACACUUUCCGCAUGUCAUAUUUACUUUUUUUUUUUAACUUUUAAUCAAUCAUUUUCCUCCCCUGUCUUGACAUUUCUGCCUCGCUCUUACCACAUAACAGUCGUUUGUGUUGUACUUUUCUUCCUACAUGCCCACUUACACGUAACUAGGUUCGUCCCUCUUUCAGAGCUCUGCAUUUCGUUUUGGGUGGUUGUUAUGUAUAAUUUGGUGAAAACUGUUAGGCUUUCAAUUGGCCUAUUUAAGCCAGUGUGUUCCUGUUCUACCUCUAAUUUUCAGGGUCUGAAUCUUGUGGUAAAGUAGGACUCAUCCACAAUACAGCUCUAAACUUUAUUCCAAGAGAUGCAGCCUCGGUAUUGUGGAACCAGACACAGACGAGGUGGCAGACCACACAAUUAGUCUCCAAAAACCUUGUUUGCUUUCUCUCUGGGGCUGUAUCGAUCAGGCAGGUUUAGUCUUAUUUGGGAGCAGGUUAGAUCCUAAAUGAUACUGACAAGUACCAUGGAAACUCAAAUGGUGGGAGAAAUUCCACAGUUUAGUGUCUCUGUCUUAAAUCCAAAGAGCUACCUGAUCGUGUAACUCUUAACAGGCUAAUCAGUUGUGUUGUCUCUGAUCUUACUGACUCUGUGGACAUGCUUUCAUCCAUAAACAAUGGUACUGUUACUCUGAAUAGCAUACCCUAAAUGUUGUUAUUGUUUAAUUUAAAGUUAUAGAGGUAAGAUUAAAUGGGACAUACAGUAAUUUCCAUGUAGACUCUUUUUUUUUGUAUUUUUUUAAUGUUUCACGUUUACGAAGAGAUUAAACUGGACUAAACUCAAUGCAUUUUCAACCUUAAUAAUUUAAACAAUAAGCAAAAUAUGCUUUUACUCAUACUGUGUCUUUAGAGGGGGUUUUAAAAAGCAUUUAUACUCAUAUACUAAUUGAUACUAAAAAUUAUAAUUGCUCAUUUUUAUACUCAUUUAUAACAAAAUGAGUACAAAAGUACCGUCUUCACCUCUUCCGGUGACACAUAGCUUCAUACAGCAUUGCUGCAGACAAGGAGGCACACUCACCUCGCUAGCAGCUGAAGUAGCUGACCUUCACAACAGUGAAAAAACUCUAACACAAUAUUCCAGCUGGACCUGCGGGUGCAGGACUCUGACUAGACUCUGAAGUAGAAGGCCCUGAGGCAGAGCUAACAAGCUCAGAUACCACAACUCAAGAUUAGAGCAAGAAGUCUUACCUUUGAUGCCAAACUUGGAGUUUCCUCCAAACUUGAGAAUAACCAGCAUUAGAAGGAAACCAGUGAAGGCUACAGCAGCGAUGCCCAC